RNAcentral lists this ribosomal RNA (467 nucleotides) under uncultured bacterium. RNAcentral describes it as "partial 16S ribosomal RNA". It matches the Rfam family "Bacterial small subunit ribosomal RNA", at positions 28 to 506 of the family's 1533-position model. The record is from RNAcentral.
GACGAACGCUGGCGGCGUGCUUAACACAUGCAAGUCGAACGGAAAGGCCCUGCUUUUGUGGGGUGCUCGAGUGGCGAACGGGUGAGUAACACGUGAGUAACCUGCCCUUGACUUUGGGAUAACUUCAGGAAACUGGGGCUAAUACCGGAUAGGAGCUCCUGCUGCAUGGUGGGGGUUGGAAAGUUUCGGCGGUUGGGGAUGGACUCGCGGCUUAUCAGCUUGUUGGUGGGGUAGUGGCUUACCAAGGCUUUGACGGGUAGCCGGCCUGAGAGGGUGACCGGCCACAUUGGGACUGGGAUACGGCCCAGACUCCUACGGGAGGCAGCAGUGGGGAAUAUUGCACAAUGGGCGGAAGCCUGAUGCAGCAACGCCGCGUGCGGGAUGACGGCCUUCGGGUUGUAAACCGCUUUCGCCUGUGACGAAGCGUGAGUGACGGUAAUGGGUAAAGAAACACCGGCUAACUACGU